GAAGAUGCAGUGUACCCGCGGCAAGACGGAAAGACCCCGUGAACCUUUACUAUAGCUUGACACUGAACAUUGAGCCUUGAUGUGUAGGAUAGGUGGGAGGCUUUGAAGCGUGGACGCCAGUCUGCGUGGAGCCGACCUUGAAAUACCACCCUUUAAUGUUUGAUGUUCUAACGUGGACCCGUGAUCCGGGUUGCGGACAGUGUCUGGUGGGUAGUUUGACUGGGGCGGUCUCCUCCUAAAGAGUAACGGAGGAGCACGAAGGUUGGCUAAUCCUGGUCGGACAUCAGGAGGUUAGUGCAAUGGCAUAAGCCAGCUUGACUGCGAGCGUGACGGCGCGAGCAGGUGCGAAAGCAGGUCAUAGUGAUCCGGUGGUUCUGAAUGGAAGGGCCAUCGCUCAACGGAUAAAAGGUACUCCGGGGAUAACAGGCUGAUACCGCCCAAGAGUUCAUAUCGACGGCGGUGUUUGGCACCUCGAUGUCGGCUCAUCACAUCCUGGGGCUGAAGUAGGUCCCAAGGGUAUGGCUGUUCGCCAUUUAAAGUGGUACGCGAGCUGGGUUUAGAACGUCGUGAGACAGUUCGGUCCCUAUCUGCCGUGGGCGCUGGAGAACUGAGGGGGGCUGCUCCUAGUACGAGAGGACCGGAGUGGACGCAUCACUGGUGUUCGGGUUGUCAUGCCAAUGGCACUGCCCGGUAGCUAAAUGCGGAAGAGAUAAGUGCUGAAAGCAUCUAAGCACGAAACUUGCCCCGAGAUGAGUUCUCCCUGAGACUUAGAGUCUCCUGAAGGAACGUUGAAGACGACGACGUUGAUAGGCCGGGUGUGUAAGCGCAGCGAUGCGUUGAGCUAACCGGUACUAAUGAACCGUGAGGCUUAACCUUACAACGCCGAAG
This 888-nucleotide ribosomal RNA is filed under the name Salmonella enterica. Its description in RNAcentral is "partial 23S ribosomal RNA". It matches the Rfam family "Bacterial large subunit ribosomal RNA", at positions 2055 to 2925 of the family's 2925-position model. Lineage: Bacteria; Pseudomonadati; Pseudomonadota; Gammaproteobacteria; Enterobacterales; Enterobacteriaceae. The record is from RNAcentral.